RNAcentral lists this ribosomal RNA (272 nucleotides) under uncultured prokaryote. RNAcentral describes it as "partial 16S ribosomal RNA". It matches the Rfam family "Bacterial small subunit ribosomal RNA", at positions 524 to 794 of the family's 1533-position model. The record is from RNAcentral.
UACGUAGGGUGCGAGCGUUGUCCGGAAUUACUGGGCGUAAAGAGCUCGUAGGUGGUUUGUCGCGUCGUCUGUGAAAUUCCGGGGCUUAACUCCGGGCGUGCAGGCGAUACGGGCAUAACUUGAGUACUGUAGGGGAGACUGGAAUUCCUGGUGUAGCGGUGAAAUGCGCAGAUAUCAGGAGGAACACCGGUGGCGAAGGCGGGUCUCUGGGCAGUAACUGACGCUGAGGAGCGAAAGCAUGGGUAGCGAACAGGAUUAGAUACCCGCGUAGU